This 111-nucleotide microRNA precursor is filed under the name Mus caroli (Ryukyu mouse). RNAcentral's name for it is "microRNA 7k (MGP_CAROLIEiJ_G0008002.1)". The record is from RNAcentral. Lineage: Eukaryota; Metazoa; Chordata; Mammalia; Rodentia; Muridae.
UAGCCACAGCCCUAUCCCUAGCCUGAGGUAGGAGGUUGCAUGCAAGCUCACCAUAACCUAUAUAGUACACAGAGAGCCUUUAUCCCACAACACAGCACAAAACAAUACUUC